Molecule: long non-coding RNA, 922 nt
Filed under: Lupinus angustifolius (narrow-leaved blue lupine)
Lineage: Eukaryota; Viridiplantae; Streptophyta; Magnoliopsida; Fabales; Fabaceae
Description: long non-coding RNA (LANG_LNC001831)
Source: RNAcentral
ACAACUCAAUAAUUUUUUACACCCUAAACACCUAGCCUUUUCUUUUCCAUCUACAAUACCAGCUUUUUCAAAAUAUCUCCAUGCAUCUGAGGUUAAGGCCUUCCCACUUUUUGGUUCUGGUUGAGAGGUUAGAGGCAUACACUUUUUUGUUCUGAUUGAGAAGCAUUUGUACUCUCUUUCUCUUGUACAUUUCCACUGGUAUUUUGUGUAACUCCGACAGAGGUUUCUAAUAUCUCACAAUCACCAACACUGGAAUCCAUAAUAUGCAAACCUGUAAAGAUGAAGAAACAUUCAUCAAUAUAAAUGGGAAUGUAAAAAUGGAUAUGAAAGCUGUAAAAAUGGGAAUGAAACAUUGCAUAAUACUACAAAAUGGAAUAGUGUCUAAAAGCUGUAAAAAUGCACAAACCCCAAAUCAUGAAUAGCGUGUAUAUAUCAAACAUCCAAUAAUGAAAUCAAAAGAAGAAACCAUUUUGGGUACCAAUCAAUAAUUCUCAUAUGAAAUUAGUAUUAUUUCUAGGUUGAACACAAGCUUAUUAUAUAAAACAGGAGCAUGAAAAGUUGAAGGUUAAAAGAGUGGAUUGAACAUGAAAAGUUAAAAAUUAAAAGAGUAGAUUGAGCAUGAAAAUGAAGCAAGUUGUGAGUCUAUGAUGUAACCUGGGUGAAGCACUGAAGCUGACGAAUGGAGACUGGAGAGUGAAAGAUUAAAGUGUGAAAUGUUGGUGUUGAUGUUGUUAUUAUUGUGAAAUGUGAAACAAGCCUCGCCCAAGCGAGGGAAUGGUCGCUCAAGCCAUAAUUCAGAGGAAAAUCACCAGAAAACAUUGAUAUCCCUCGCCCAAGCGAUGGACUCUCGCCCAGACGCUAUUUCAAGACAAAAAACUUGAUGUUCACUAUUUCUCCCUCGCCCAAGCGAGGUGAUUAGACA